Molecule: ribosomal RNA, 861 nt
Filed under: uncultured bacterium
Lineage: Bacteria
Description: bacterial SSU rRNA
Rfam family: Bacterial small subunit ribosomal RNA
Source: RNAcentral
AGUUUGAUCCUGGCUCGAAUGAACGCUGGCGGCAGGCCUAACACAUGCAAGUCGAACGGAGUUAUAUUGUAGCUUGCUAUGGUAUAACUUAGUGGCAGACGGGUGAGUAAUGUAUAGGAAUCUACCUAGUAGUACGGAAUAAUUGUUGGAAACGGCAACUAAUACCGUAUACGCCCUACGGGGGAAAAAUUUAUUGCUAUUAGAUGAGCCUAUAUUAGAUUAGCUAGUUGGUGGAGUAAUAGCCUACCAAGGCAAUGAUCUAUAGCUGAUCUGAGAGGAUGAUCAGCCACACUGGAACUGAGAUACGGUCCAGACUCCUACGGGAGGCAGCAGUGGGGAAUAUUGGACAAUGGGCGAAAGCCUGAUCCAGCCAUGCCGCAUGAGUGAAGAAGGCCUUUGGGUUGUAAAGCUCUUUUAGUGAGGAAGAUAAUGACGGUACUCACAGAAGAAGUCCUGGCUAACUCCGUGCCAGCAGCCGCGGUAAUACGGAGAGGGCUAGCGUUAUUCGGAAUUAUUGGGCGUAAAGGGCGCGUAGGCGGAUUAGUAAGUUAAAAGUGAAAUCCCAAGGCUCAACCUUGGAAUUGCUUUUAAAACUGCUAAUCUAGAGAUUGAAAGAGGAUAGAGGAAUUCCUAGUGUAGAGGUGAAAUUCGUAAAUAUUAGGAGGAACACCAGUGGCGAAGGCGUCUAUCUGGUUCAAAUCUGACGCUGAGGCGCGAAGGCGUGGGGAGCAAACAGGAUUAGAUACCCUGGUAGUCCACGCUGUAAACGAUGAAUGUUAAAUAUGGGAAGUUUUACUUUCUGUAUUACAGCUAACGCGUUAAACAUUCCGCCUGGGGACUACGGUCGCAAGAUUAAAACUC